This is a non-coding RNA of Prunus avium (sweet cherry), 2853 nucleotides long. The record is from RefSeq and is a predicted model, not a curated record. Lineage: Eukaryota; Viridiplantae; Streptophyta; Magnoliopsida; Rosales; Rosaceae.
GGACGGUUGGAUUCAACCCGAAACAUAACCCCCUCUUCGUCUUCGCGUGAACUCUCUCUCUCACCUGGAUCUUUGUUCCGACUGAGCUGUCAAAACACUUUCCCAAAUUGUUAUAUAAAAUAAAAUCAACCAAAUUUGUUUGUAUAUUCAAUCUGUUUUCGUAUUAUUUAUUUAUUUAUUUGGGGUGAAUGUAACUGGGAUUUGAGCGGUAGAUGAUGAGGGCUGUGGAUGGUUCGAAGUGAAAAAGGUGUAAUUCAUUUCUUUCUCGAUUGCCCCAUUUUCUUCCAUUACCAACCUUAACAUCCGGUAUGCAAAGAAAAGUUUAGGCAGCGGCUUUGGUGCUUUCUUUUUGAGAGCAUAGGAUAGAAGAAACACUUGAAGCUGCUACCUGCUAAAACCCCUUGAGGCCAAGCUCGAGAGGUUCCUCCAGUGGUUACAGGUUAAUGGACCGGAGCUACAUGGCUGCAAGAUCAAGUACUCUAAUUCCAGCAAAGGGUUUGACAUUUUUUCGUCUAGUGAAGUUUCUGAUGAUGGGGUUUUAUUGGUUGUUCCUCUGGAUUUAGCAAGAACUCCUAUGAGAGUGUUGCAAGAUCCUCUUCUUGGACCAGAGUGUAGAGCAAUGUUUGAAGAAGGAGAUGUAGAUGAUAGGUUGUUGAUGUUUUUGUUUCUGAUAGUGGAGUGUGUCUGCAAGAAUUCUUCUUGGAAGCCUUAUGUAUAGAAUGCACUUUGUUGAAUGAUCAAUUACAAAUUUUCUCGUAUAUCUUUUGGCUGAGCUUCACUUGGGAUAACAUCAGGUAUCCUGAUAUGCUUCCAACUACUUUUGGCAAUCCAUUUUGGUGUACGAAUGAUGAGCUUUUGGAGCUAGAAGGGACAACAUUGUGUCGAGCAACUGAAUUACAGAGAUGUUUGCUUUGAAGAUUUCCUUUGGGCGUUGACUCAAAGCAUUGGUCUUCUCUCUUAUACAUUCUUGGCAUGGACAGGCCAUGACAGAAUAGUAGUACCGAUAGUGAGCUUUGUUACGCAAGCUUCUGGUUGUGUGUGUAUUCCUUUCUUUCCUGUUUUCUUUUCUGUGUGAUAGACGUGAAACAGUAUGCAAAAUGUGGCUUAUUGUUGUAUGUGCUAGUAAAUGGAUGACCAGGAUAUUACCCAUGAGGUUGUAGUCCAGCGGUUGGGGGACUAGUUGGGCUCCCUCCUUGAGGUCAGGGGUUCUACACUCAGUGAGGUACCUAUCUAGAAAUUUAUUGCUAGAGUUUCCUGCCCAGAAGAUUGUAGGGUUCGGCAGUGGGCCCCAGUUUGGAAGUUGAGUCAGCAAAGCUGACAAAUUGGAGUUAUGGGAUUAAAAAUAAUAAUAAUAAAAAUGGAUGACCAGGAUAUUUGAUGUGCCAUUGCAAUGCCAUAUUUAUACUAGCUUGAGGUUAUGACCUUUGGGUUUAAAGGAAGGCUGAAACCUGAACUUUCAAGAUCUUGAUGGAGGAGCAUAUGCACUAUGUUUGGAGAUCUUAAUGUUAUUUUUUUAUUUAUUUUUGGUUUUUGUUUCCAUGGGCAGUUGAAAUGCUGCUUUUUUAAUUAUCCUCAUUCUCAAUUACUUGAUGUUACUCGUACAUUUAUAUCUAGUAUUAACAGCUCAUGUCCAUUGCAGGUGGAUUGUGAAUUCAACACAUCAAAUGAGGCGUUAGAAUUAAUGCAUGGGACGGAACAUUUCAUGUCUAAUCUUUCCCUGCUGUUGCGGUGGUCCCCAUAUUCAACCGAGGCUGAUUUUCUGAAGAAGGAACCCAUUGAAUUGAUCAUCAUGAACGCUAGAGAUGCACACCAGUUCCUCUAUAACAAUGCCACUUUGAGAAGGGAAAUUGCACCUUGAGAACAUUCUUUCCUUGUCUGUUAAAUUGGAUGGGUAUGCUCUGAAUCUAUAAAGUACUGAUUCUUCAAAUAUUGUCGGUAUGGGGUAUCAGAUACCAAUAUGAUCCCCAUACACCCCGACCAGUACGUGGUGGAUGUGGCCAAGAUUUGGUUACUGUACGAUCUGUUUAAUGACAUCAGAGCUCAUGGCGCAAAGGUUAUUAUCUAUAGUUUAUGGUCCAAUGUGGAGCUAGACUUUGAUACUGAUCCUGAGUGCAGGAUAUUCGAAGAAUUAGUGGGGAUACCAAAAAGUUAACGCUAGACCCCAAUGGAAGACAGUAAAUGAAGAGCACAUUGCUAACCAUUUCCAUUAUCCUCUCCGGGUAUACUUGUCCAUCUUGUACUUGCGGAUACCCGAAACCUGUCAGAUAGUACUUACUUCGUGUGCGAGUUGUUGAUCAUCAUUAACAUUGCCAAUGAUCUAAAAUUUCCUUAAUUUAUCUAGUAUAAACCACAAACUGGAGGUUUUGUGGAGGUUGUACCAAAUUUUGAAACAGUUGUUUCCCAUUGCAGGCAGAUGAACUUAAGUUGUUCUUAUUUGAACUACACUGCUAUCUCUUUACUCUCUGCUUUAACGAUGCAGUGGCUUAACCAUGCAGGGUCAAGUUAUUAUGACUAUUGAAUUUCUAAAAGAAGCACCUCGUGUCUGUAUCCAUAGCUUCAAUGUUUAUCACAAAAAUCGUCUAAUACUGGCUUGCUGGGAGUUCUUUUCUGCAACAACAGCAAAACAGAGAAGAUACACAAGGGUAGAGAGUCAAAGAGCGAUAGAGAGAUCUAUAGCAAGGUUUUGGGGAUUGGCAUUGGGAUUUCAUAAAUUUUGUGGCAUAAGAAGAAAGCUGCAACAUAGACUCUUCUUUAAACGAAACAUUUCCACUGGCAAUAUAUGCACAGUUAAAGUUGAGCCACCAAUGGCAAUCGGGUAGAAGAUCUGAAGAUCUUAAUAAAUGAAAUUGAAAA